ACUAGGCACAUGCCUGUAGUCCCAGAUACUCGGGACGCAAAGGAAGAAGGAUCCUUUGAGUCCAGGAAUUCUGGCUGUAGCAUGCUAUGCUGAUUGGGUGUCCGGACUAAGUUUCAGCAUCACUUAUGGUGACUCCCGGGAAAAGGAGAGCCAUUCAGGUUGCCUAAAAAGGGGUGUGCCAGCCCAGUUCAGGAAUAGAGCAGGUCAAAACUCCAUUGCUGAUCACUAGUGGGAUCAUGGCUGUGAAUAGCCACUGCUCUCCGCCUGGCAACAAGAUGAGUGAGAAUGUGUCUCU
This 295-nucleotide signal recognition particle RNA is filed under the name Pan troglodytes (chimpanzee). RNAcentral describes it as "Metazoan signal recognition particle RNA (ENSPTRG00000050310.1)". It matches the Rfam family "Metazoan signal recognition particle RNA". From Rfam's summary of the family: The signal recognition particle (SRP) is a universally conserved ribonucleoprotein. It is involved in the co-translational targeting of proteins to membranes. The record is from RNAcentral. Lineage: Eukaryota; Metazoa; Chordata; Mammalia; Primates; Hominidae.